Molecule: ribosomal RNA, 274 nt
Filed under: Fusicatenibacter saccharivorans
Lineage: Bacteria; Bacillati; Bacillota; Clostridia; Lachnospirales; Lachnospiraceae
Description: partial 16S ribosomal RNA
Rfam family: Bacterial small subunit ribosomal RNA
Source: RNAcentral
UAUGGUAAGCAGCCGCGGUAAUACGUAGGGGGCAAGCGUUAUCCGGAUUUACUGGGUGUAAAGGGAGCGUAGACGGCAAGGCAAGUCUGAUGUGAAAACCCAGGGCUUAACCCUGGGACUGCAUUGGAAACUGUCUGGCUCGAGUGCCGGAGAGGUAAGCGGAAUUCCUAGUGUAGCGGUGAAAUGCGUAGAUAUUAGGAAGAACACCAGUGGCGAAGGCGGCUUACUGGACGGUAACUGACGUUGAGGCUCGAAAGCGUGGGGAGCAAACAGG